Long non-coding RNA from Esox lucius (northern pike), 758 nucleotides. RefSeq lists it as uncharacterized. The transcript is spliced from 3 exons. The record is from RefSeq and is a predicted model, not a curated record. NCBI's taxonomy places the organism in Eukaryota, Metazoa, Chordata, Actinopteri, Esociformes, Esocidae.
CCAGACCAGGCAUGGACACAGCGAUUUCAGCGGGGGCAGAGCGCCCCCCUGCGGGACACUCAUAUUCCAUUGCUACACAUAUAGCAAAACGACGGAGUUGCAGCGGGUUUGUAUUUUGAUACAAUAUUUUUUCCCCAUCGAUUCCAGUAAUUAUGUGUCUAAAAGACAAAUAUUUAUUUUCAAUGGACGCUGUUUAUUAUCGAAAUUCCAAAGCCCACCCAACACGUUGGAAAUAUCUGAGAGAGUUGAAUGGCUUCCUUUUCCGAACCAAACCUUGGCUCCCGCCCCGGGCUUUGCUCCUUCUUCUAGGGAUCCCUCUCUCUUGAGCUCGCUGAGCACGGGUUCUGGGUAAAGGCCCAGUGUCACUAGGCAAAAGAAGACACGAAUGGAAGAGACGGACACAAGGAGCGCCACAUUUGUAAAGACUGGACUAUCUGGGAUCAAAAUGACAACGAGGAAAACACAACACUUGCUCUUUGUCCUCUGUGUUUUCUUCUGAUCUAUAAUUGAUGUAGUCCCUUGGAGCGCACAGGGCAAACCUUUUUACACCUUACUGUUUUAAAACCUUUUACACCUUCCUGUCAACGUCCAACCAGGUCAGCGAUCUUCUCAUGGCAGAGAUGGAGCACAGUGUUAGAGGCAUCUAGGAAUACUAUGAACUUAAGAAACACACAUGAUGUACAUAUACUCUACCCUGCCAUGAUUGACCAAAAAAUUUCUCUGAGAAAUGAAGACAAAAAACACUUAACUGUUUUAUC